Molecule: transfer RNA, 77 nt
Filed under: Paracoccaceae bacterium
Lineage: Bacteria; Pseudomonadati; Pseudomonadota; Alphaproteobacteria; Rhodobacterales; Paracoccaceae
Also listed under: 1 other name
Description: tRNA-Ile
Rfam family: tRNA
About the family: Transfer RNA (tRNA) molecules are approximately 80 nucleotides in length.
Source: RNAcentral
GGGGGGUUAGCUCAGUUGGUUAGAGCAGAGCGCUCAUAACGCUUUGGUCACAGGUUCGAGUCCUGUACCCCCUACCA